GACGAACGCUGGCGGCGUGCCUAACACAUGCAAGUCGAACGGAAAGGCCCUGCGUUUGUGCGGUGCUCGAGUGCCGAACGCGUGAGUAACACGUGAGUAACCUGCCCUUGUCUUUCGGAGAACAUCAGGAAACUGGGGCUAAUAUCGGAUAGGAUCUCCUGCAGCGUGGUGGGGGGUGGAAAGUUUCGGCGGUUGGGGAUGGACUCGCGGGUUAUCGGCUUGUUGGUGGGGUAGGGGCUUACCAAGGCUUUGACGGGUAGCCGGCCUGAGAGGGUGACCGGCCACAUUGGGACUGAGAUACGGCCCAGACGCCUACGGGAGGCAGCGGUGGGAAGUAUUGCACAAUGGGCGGAAGCCUGAUGCAGCAACGCCGCGUGCGGGAUGACGGCCUUCUGGUUGAAAACCGCUUUCGCCUGUGACGAAGCGGGAGUGACGGUAAUGGGUAAAGAAGCACCGGCUAACUACGUG
This 468-nucleotide ribosomal RNA is filed under the name uncultured bacterium. RNAcentral's name for it is "partial 16S ribosomal RNA". It matches the Rfam family "Bacterial small subunit ribosomal RNA", at positions 28 to 507 of the family's 1533-position model. The record is from RNAcentral.